RNAcentral lists this RNase P RNA (345 nucleotides) under Aequorivita sp. Its description in RNAcentral is "RNase P RNA component class A". It matches the Rfam family "Bacterial RNase P class A". Rfam says of the family: Ribonuclease P (RNase P) is a ubiquitous endoribonuclease, found in archaea, bacteria and eukarya as well as chloroplasts and mitochondria. Its best characterised activity is the generation of mature 5'-ends of tRNAs by cleaving the 5'-leader elements of precursor-tRNAs. Lineage: Bacteria; Pseudomonadati; Bacteroidota; Flavobacteriia; Flavobacteriales; Flavobacteriaceae. The record is from RNAcentral.
GCCGCAGGCCGCCUUAUCGUCGUUCCAAUUUUUUUGGAAGGGAGGAAAGUCCGGGCACCAUAGGGAAGCAUAGCGGCUAACAGCCGUCGUUAUUUCUGCGAAAGGAGAAAUUUCAGGACUAGUGCAACAGAAAGGAUGUACAGGUAAUGCUGUAGUGAAAUCAGGUAAACUCUAUGCGGUGAAAUGCCACGUAAACCUGUGUCUCGGUUUUUACCGAGUAAGGGUACCCGCCCAAAGCAGGAGGGUAGGCAGAUUGAGCGUGUAGGUAACUACACGUCUAGAUAAAUGAUAAGGUGCCAAAAGUGAUUUUGGUAACAGAACCCGGCUUAUAGGCCUGCAUUUUUU